GGUCCCUCUCGCCAUAGAGCGCGCGGAGGACAAGGUGACCAGAGGGUACCCAGACGGUACCCCUGUUAGAAGGAGCCAAUAGCGAAUGGGAGAAGGGGCGCGCGGGGAAACAGACCCGAGUGGCUUCUGCUCCCAAAGUUACCGUGUUCCAAGGCUGGCCUCAGUUACCCAUCUGAAAAAUGGGUGGUUUCUCAAGCCAAAACAGAUCCAACCUAGAAGAUUCUCUUGUCUGAGGUCACAGCAUUGAUGGCAUGCACUCUGCCUCCGUCCAGUUUACUCUUCACAUGGCAGCUAGAGGUUCCCCCCCACCCCACCGCACCCCCUACGGAGUCUUGCGCUCUGUCGCCCAGGCUUGACUGCAGUGGCGUGAUCUCGGCUCACUGCAACCUCUGUCUCCCGGGUUCAAGUGAUUUUCCUGCCUCAGCCUUCCAAGUAGCUGCGAUUACAAGGCGCCUGCCACCAUGCCCGGCUGAUUUUUGUAUUUUAUUACAUGUUGGCCAGGCUAGUCUGGAACUCCCAACCUGAAGCUAUCCGCCCGCCUCGGCCUCCCAAAGUGCUGGGAUUGCAGGCGUGAGCUACCACGACUGGUGGAGGGAUCUUUCUAAGACAUAAGACCAUAACAUACCCUCGCUACCAGCCUUUCACGGCCCUACUACCCUUAGGAGAAAACCCAAGCUCCUGAUUAGGAGACCAUGAAUAGUCUAACCUCAGGCAGCAUCUCCAGAUUCCACCCCUUCUGCAACCUCCACACACCAUACACCCUUCCUGUUUGUCCUUUCCAAGCCCUUUUAUAGCACUAAGUCCUGUGAGGCUAUACUCUGGCUCCCCUCCUGGAUGCAAAAGCUAUUCCACUCCCAAACCUCUUGUUAGUCUAACUCCAUCUCUCUCACUGGCCCUCAGCACAACUAACAAUCACCCUAAAGGGUAGAUAUUAGUAUCAUUUCCAUUUUACAGAUGAAGGCACAGACUUGCAGAAGUCUACGCAUUUGACCAAGGUCACAACAACAUAAGAAGGCGACAGAGCCAGAAUCAGGAAUCCCAGCUAAUUCCUGUGUCCUUAAUUCCCACUUUUUUUUUUUGAGAUGGAGUCUCACUUUGUCACCAAGCUGCAACCUCCGCCUCCUGGGUUCAAGAUUCUCCUGCCUCAGCCUCCCGAGUAGCUGGGACUACAGGCACAAGCCACCACACCCGGCUAAUUUUUGUAUUUUUAGUAGAGAUGAGGUUUCACCAUGUUGGACAGGAUGGUCUUGAUCUCUUGACCUUGUGAUCCUCCCUCCUCAGCCUCCCAAAGUGCUGGGAUUAUAGGUGUGAGCCACCUCACCCAGCCCCCUUACUUCCCACUCUACCGCUUCUGUAUGUGCCAGAGCCUAUCUUGGUGGGCUAGUAAAUUUUUUUGUUUUGUUUUGUUGGGUUUGUUUUCUUUUUGGGUUGGGGGAAAAGGAGACUGCCAUAAAUUUGAAUUCUGGGUUUGACCAGCUAAAUCCUUUCCUGACUGUGUGACCUUGGGGAAGUGAUCACCUCUUCUGAGCCUCAGUUUCAACCUCUGUAAAGUGGGGAUAAUAAUUAUGCCCAUCAUACAGGAUUAGAGGAGAGUUUGAUAACAUGAGUACAGUAUUUGCCAGAGAGCCUGACACAGAACAGUACUUUCAUAUUCACUCCAUUACAAAUACUCAAAGUGGGCUGGGCACAGUGGCUCACACCUAUAAUUGCAGCACUUUGGGAAGCCAAGGUAGGCAGAUCACUUGAGGUCAGGAGUUCAAGACCAGCCUGGCCAACAUGGCAAAACCCUGUCUCUACUAAAAAUACAAAAAAUUAGCUGGGCAUGAUGGUGUGCGCCUAAAGUCCCAGUUUCUAGGGAGGUUAAAGCAGGAGAAUUGCCUGAACCUGGGAGGCAGAGGUCACAGUGAGGCAAGAUCAUGCCACUGCACUCCAGCCUGGGCUAGAGUGAGACUCUGUCUCAAAAAACAACCAACCAACCAACCAAUCAAAUACUCAGUCAGGCAGAGUACCUAGUGCUGUGAUGGGACGUCCAAAGGGGGUUUAGGGGGACUUUGUCCAAUUGGGGCAGGGAGGGAAGGCUUCCUGGAGUAGCUG
Molecule: long non-coding RNA, 2094 nt
Organism: Callithrix jacchus (white-tufted-ear marmoset)
Lineage: Eukaryota; Metazoa; Chordata; Mammalia; Primates; Cebidae
Source: RefSeq, a predicted model, not a curated record